This 372-nucleotide ribosomal RNA is filed under the name Triticum aestivum (bread wheat). RNAcentral describes it as "partial small subunit ribosomal RNA". The record is from RNAcentral. Lineage: Eukaryota; Viridiplantae; Streptophyta; Magnoliopsida; Poales; Poaceae.
AUGAUAGCUGCGCAUAGAGAAGAUACUUACAGGUGGAGUGAGGCAAUAAGAUCCGGAUACGUGAGGCUUAAAGCAGCGUUGUACUUGGUGAAAUUGCUAGUUGCCGUGUCAAAUGAAACAUCAACACCAACUGACAGUUCUUUGCUUCCGAAUACACCAGAAAGGUUAACCAUAGGGUUCGGGUUCAGCCCAACACUUGCAUUGAUACCGGCGAAUUCAUGGAGAUACUGGAGUUCAAGCUGUCAAGGCAGAAAAAUACAAAUUAAAUCUCCUAUCUCAGUGAUCACCAUAUUGCAGAUUAGAAGUUUAAGCAAACGGAGUGGUAAGAAAAUUAUACCUUCCCUGACCUCUGGUCUGGAACAACCAAACUGA